CGCCGCACUACCGGGCGCGGCUGGCGGACCGGUGAAGCCGAAGGCGGCGGGCGACCCCGCCCCCGCCCCGCUGGCGGCCGGGGGAGGCGCCCUAGCCGCGCACACGCCCCCGCACCUGGGUGCCCGGCGGCCCGCGCAGUGACUCUUGGAGGCUGUGCCUUGCUGGAACAUUCUCUUCAGGGACUGCAGUUGUCCGGGACGAGGAUAUCCACACUAGAUUCAGCCAGUUCCAUCAGGAUAUGUCUGGGGGUGUUGGCAGUUUCUAACUAUUUCCAGCCACUCUGCGUGAGCACCCUCGUAUUCUAAUAGGUGUGUAGUGGCAUCUAAUGAUGGCUUUAUUUUGUGCAUCCCUGGUGACUAUGGAGUGGAACUUCUUUCAUAUGCUUAUUUGAGGCUGUCUUUGUAUAUGGCUGAAUGGAGAUCUACAUUAUUCUUAAUGACUGUGUAGUCCUACCACAUUGGAUCCAUCUUUUUAUUUCAUCAAGACCCUACCGGUGGACAUCUUGGUUGGCUUUGAUAUUUUGCUGCUCCAUGUAACGCCUCGGUAUACAACCUUGUAUGUGCAUUUCUGCGUAUUUGUCUAUUUCCAUCAGGUGGCCUUGGUGGGUAAAAGGAAGGCACGCUUUUAAAGCUUUUGAAACGCAUUGAUAAAUAGCUCCCCUGGAAACCUGCACCCAUUACAGCCCGCCUCAUUGACAGCAUGGAGGAAACAGUCCCUGCUUCUAAUUUCAGGCAGAAGCCUCCAGAGCGAUGACUUGCAAGGUUUGAGGAAGUCUUUCAAGUAUGACCCCAUGACUUCUGGCCAGAAGCCAGAAAUAAGGUCCGAUGGCCACAGGACUCCUUUGGCGUGCCCUUGGAAAAUCAUUAAGAUGGUCUGGGGAGGGGCGGCUGUUCGGGGAUGGUCUGGGAAGGAGAGGAGAAGCUGGGGUCAGGCUUGGGUGUGAGCCCAGCUAUAUUCACUCCUGACCUGUGACCUUGGGACAGCCACUUGACCUUUCUAACCACGGUUUUCUCAGAUGUGGAAUAAAACAAAUGAUAGUAACCCCAAGAAUGUGAGAGCCCUUUACAAAGUCAAAAACAUUCCACAAAGGUGUGUUGUGAGGAGCCUUUGUUUCCUCUCCAGAAAUGUGGGCGGCACACACUUCCUCCUGGGUUCCUACCUGAAUGACAACUGCCUGUUAAGGAAGGGCAGGACCUGGCGAGGGAGGGAGGAAGAGUGUGGUGGGCACAAUGAUGAUUCCCUCUCCCCCCCGCCCCCCCCCACCCAGAGGUGUCCACAUUCACAUCCAGGGAUUACUGUGAAUAUGUUAGGUUACAUGGCAAAGGGGAUUAAGGCAGCAGGUAGAAUUAAGAUUGCUACUCAGCUCACCUUAAAAUAGGGAGAUUAUCCCGGAUUAUCUAGGUGGGCUCAAUGUAAUCACAAGGGUCCCUCAAUGUGAAAGAGACUGAAGAAAAAAACAGACGGCAACAUGGGAAGGACCAUGUCAUGUGGUUGGCUUUGAAGAUGGAGGAAGGGGCCAUGAAGCAAGGAAUGCAGGAAGCUUCUAGAAGCUGGAAAAGAUAAGGAAAUGGAUUCUUUCCUAGAGCCUCCAGAAGAAUGCAGUCCUGGGAACACCUUGAUUUUUGCCCAGUGAGACCCAGUUCAGACUUCUAACCUCCAGAACCGUAAGAUAAAAAGGUUUAUGUUGUUUUAAGCUACUAAAUUUGUGGUAAGUUGUUACAGUAGCCAUAGGAAACUAAUCCAGGAGGACAGGUGGGUCCAUCGGGAGCAGAAUGCCUGGAGAAGGAUUGGAGUGCCCCCACUUCCCGAAUUCCUCAGUGGGGAGUGGCACCAGCAAAUGGGUAGCAGCAGGCUUCCUUGUGUCCUCUGGGGAACAUUGAACAAUGUUUCUUGCUUUGGUAUGGAUUAAUGGCAGGUGACAGAGGAAGGUAACCCCGUGCAGGGGGCCUUGAAAGCCAGGCUGUGGGUAUUCUGGAGGCAGUGUGGGGCCGUUGAGGGUUUCAGGCAGGGCAAGGAGACGAUGAGAACUUGCUUUUAGCAGUAGGGAUGGGGUGAAAGAGCACUGGGCUUGGAGUCAGAGAACUGGGUUCAAAUCCCAGCAUUGCCUCCCCAGGCAACGUUGGGGCAAGUUACUAAUGAUCUCUAGAUUUGGAUUCCAUUUCCUAAAAACACUGGGGCUAUUUCUGGAGUCCUUCCCAGUCACGGAACACAGCUGGCCCAGACCAGGCAGGGCCUCUUGGGAUCAAAGGGAAUUCUCUGGCCUAAUACCCAGAGGGUAGAGAAAGUUUAAAAUAACAAUAAUAACAAUAAUAAUAAUAAAGCAACAUGCAUUGAGCAGUAACCAUAGGUUAAGAAUUUCACGUAAUGAGGGUGCCUGGGUGGCUCAGUUGGUUGAGUGACUGCUUUCAGCUCAGGUCAUGAUCCCCAAAUCCUGGGAUCGAGUCCCACAUCGGGUUCCCAGCUCAGCGGGGAGCCUGCUUC
Long non-coding RNA from Mirounga angustirostris (Northern elephant seal), 2482 nucleotides. RefSeq lists it as uncharacterized. The record is from RefSeq and is a predicted model, not a curated record. NCBI's taxonomy places the organism in Eukaryota, Metazoa, Chordata, Mammalia, Carnivora, Phocidae. The transcript is spliced from 3 exons.